Non-coding RNA from Trichonephila clavipes, 79 nucleotides. The record is from the annotation of a GenBank genome assembly. NCBI's taxonomy places the organism in Eukaryota, Metazoa, Arthropoda, Arachnida, Araneae, Nephilidae.
GACCCUGUAGUGCAAUGGAUAGCACAUGCUGGACUUUUUAUCCAAAGGUCAUGGGUUCAAAUCCCACCUGGGAUGGCCU